GAUGAACGCUGGCUACAGGCUUAACACAUGCAAGUCGAGGGGAAACGGCGUUGGGUGCUUGCACCGAAUGGACGUCGACCGGCGCACGGGUGAGUAACGCGUAUCCAACCUUCCCGUUACUGCGGGAUAACCUGCCGAAAGGCAGACUAAUACCGCAUGUUCUUCGAUGACGGCAUCAGAUUCGAAGCAAAGAUCCGUCGGUAACGGAGGGGGAUGCGUCUGAUUAGCUUGUUGGCGGGGCGACGGCCCACCAAGGCGACGAUCAGUAGGGGUUCUGAGAGGAAGGUCCCCCACAUUGGAACUGAGACACGGUCCAAACUCCUACGGGAGGCAGCAGUGAGGAAUAUUGGUCAAUGGGCGGAAGCCUGAACCAGCCAAGUAGCGUGCAGGAUGACGGCCCUACGGGUUGUAAACUGCUUUUAUGCGGGGAUAAAGUGAGGGACGCGUCCCUUUUUGCAGGUACCG
This 465-nucleotide ribosomal RNA is filed under the name Prevotella sp. oral taxon G57. Its description in RNAcentral is "bacterial SSU rRNA". It matches the Rfam family "Bacterial small subunit ribosomal RNA", at positions 28 to 480 of the family's 1533-position model. The record is from RNAcentral. Lineage: Bacteria; Pseudomonadati; Bacteroidota; Bacteroidia; Bacteroidales; Prevotellaceae.